This 256-nucleotide ribosomal RNA is filed under the name uncultured archaeon. RNAcentral describes it as "partial 16S ribosomal RNA". It matches the Rfam family "Bacterial small subunit ribosomal RNA", at positions 521 to 776 of the family's 1533-position model. The record is from RNAcentral.
UAAUACGGAGGGUGCAAGCGUUAAUCGGAAUUACUGGGCGUAAAGCGCACGCAGGCGGUCUGUCAAGUCGGAUGUGAAAUCCCCGGGCUCAACCUGGGAACUGCAUUCGAAACUGGCAGGCUAGAGUCUUGUAGAGGGGGGUAGAAUUCCAGGUGUAGCGGUGAAAUGCGUAGAGAUCUGGAGGAAUACCGGUGGCGAAGGCGGCCCCCUGGACAAAGACUGACGCUCAGGUGCGAAAGCGUGGGGAGCAAACAGG